Neocloeon triangulifer is the source of this 670-nucleotide long non-coding RNA. RefSeq lists it as uncharacterized. Lineage: Eukaryota; Metazoa; Arthropoda; Insecta; Ephemeroptera; Baetidae. The record is from RefSeq and is a predicted model, not a curated record. The transcript is spliced from 3 exons.
GCCGUCCAUUAUGGCCGACAUAACAAUGAGCGGACUUUAAUUACAGAUUUUGGGCAAAUACCUCCUCUAAAUCGUCCUUGGCAUCGACGGCGCACGAAACAAAGAGUCUCGAACUACUCGGAUUGACCGCUUCCAUGCCUCAAAAGUUCCUAUAUCACCACAAAUUCACGCAUCAAACAGCGCUGGCUACGACAUCGUGCUGCUGUGCUUUCGCUCGAAAUGCUUUCCGACUCGCGCGGAGGGAUACACUGCACAACGACAAAAAAGUUCCGCGGAGCAAAUUGUUUUCGCAGCCUGGUUGGCGCUGAUUUGCAUACGGCCUGAAACCGUACGUGGGCUGCUGACGCCGGAAACCAAAGUUUCCAAAGCCGCCGAAAUUGUUGUUGAAAAAGCCACCUUGUCCUGCCGCUGCACCCUGAUUAGCUUGCUGUUCGAUUGGCCUACCUGUCACUCCUUCAAUCACCUUCUUCAAGAAUUUGCCGAUUCUGGUUUUGACAAAGGUUAAACCUGCAAGAAUUCCAGCAAGGUGGCCCAUGAAUGACGAUCCGGGAACGAGCAAGUAAAUCAAAAUGAGCUCCGACCAGACUGCGUAUUUCAUUCCCGCCUCCUGAUGUUCCGAAGUCAAAACUUUCAGAGCAAAAAUGACACCUGAAUAAAAUUAUUGAAAAUU